GGCGUUGUGCGAUAGUGGUUAUUCGGUGGGUUUAGAAAACCCAUGCUUUCGGGCUCACAGGUUCGAAUCCUGUCAACGUCG
This is a non-coding RNA of Kwoniella sp. DSM 27419, 81 nucleotides long. NCBI's taxonomy places the organism in Eukaryota, Fungi, Basidiomycota, Tremellomycetes, Tremellales, Cryptococcaceae. The record is from the annotation of a GenBank genome assembly.